This 325-nucleotide ribosomal RNA is filed under the name Salmonella enterica subsp. enterica serovar Thompson. RNAcentral describes it as "bacterial SSU rRNA". It matches the Rfam family "Bacterial small subunit ribosomal RNA", at positions 650 to 974 of the family's 1533-position model. Lineage: Bacteria; Pseudomonadati; Pseudomonadota; Gammaproteobacteria; Enterobacterales; Enterobacteriaceae. RNAcentral also lists the same sequence under 4 other names. The record is from RNAcentral.
UGUAGAGGGGGGUAGAAUUCCAGGUGUAGCGGUGAAAUGCGUAGAGAUCUGGAGGAAUACCGGUGGCGAAGGCGGCCCCCUGGACAAAGACUGACGCUCAGGUGCGAAAGCGUGGGGAGCAAACAGGAUUAGAUACCCUGGUAGUCCACGCCGUAAACGAUGUCUACUUGGAGGUUGUGCCCUUGAGGCGUGGCUUCCGGAGCUAACGCGUUAAGUAGACCGCCUGGGGAGUACGGCCGCAAGGUUAAAACUCAAAUGAAUUGACGGGGGCCCGCACAAGCGGUGGAGCAUGUGGUUUAAUUCGAUGCAACGCGAAGAACCUUAC